CGUAACAAGGUUUCCGUAGGUGAACAUGCGGAAGGAUCAUUACUGAAAUACAUUUGGUUUUCAAGUUGUUGCUGGUCUUUAAUAGGACAUUGGUGCACGCUUUUAUAACCAAUUAAUUUUAAUGUUUUAUUCCAACUGUGCACAUAUUGUAGACAUUAAGGGAGUUAUAUUAUAUAAUCUACAAGAUUUUCUUGGGCUUUUUUGACCUGAGGAGUUGGAUGUUUGCUAUUUAUUUAUUAGCUUCUUGUCCUUAUAUUAGAUGAUCUGUAGAUUCUCCUUUUAAUGUCUAUGAUUUCUACAUAAUAACUCCUAUGAUUUAUUUCAAGUAUAUACAUUAAUAUGUAUAAAUCAAUUAACAAAUAUAAUAUAACUUUCAACAACGGAUCUCUUGGCUCUCGCAUCGAUGAAGAACGCAGCGAAAUGCGAUAAGUAAUGUGAAUUGCAGAAUUCAGUGAAUCAUCGAAUUUUUGAACGCACCUUGCGCUCCUUGGUAUUCUGAGGAGCAUGCCUGUUUGAGUGUCAGUAGAUUAAUCAACCUUAUUCUUUUCUUUAUUAGAGAAAGAAGAGUGUUGGAUUUUGGGAGUCUUUAUCAUGUUGCAGGCUUAUUUUGUAUAUCAUUUUAUUAUGUAUAUGCAAAAGAAAUGUUUGCUCUCCUUAAAUAUAAUCAAGCAGAUCUUUGAUGGCCGAUUUUGGCUAAUCAUGGCUUAUUUAAUACGGUGUGAUAAGUAUCUACAUCCAUAUUUUAAAUAAGUAUGCCAUUUUUAUAUGGAUUGAAGUUCUGCAUAAUUUAUGUUUAUAUGCAUAUAUAAAUAAAUAACACUUGACAAUUUGACCUCAAAUCAGGUAGGAUUACCCGCUGAACUUAAGCAUA
This 871-nucleotide ribosomal RNA is filed under the name Limacella bangladeshana. RNAcentral describes it as "eukaryotic LSU rRNA". The stretch from base 369 to 522 matches the Rfam family "5.8S ribosomal RNA". Lineage: Eukaryota; Fungi; Basidiomycota; Agaricomycetes; Agaricales; Amanitaceae. The record is from RNAcentral.